CAGUCGAACGCGUCUCCGUUAAUGAUUUUAGGUGCUUGCACUUGAAAGACUUACAUGGAGACGAGUGGCGAACUGGUGAGUAACACGUGGGUAACCUGCCCUUGAAGUAGGGGAUAACACUUGGAAACAGGUGCUAAUACCGUAUAACAACCAAAACCACCUGGUUUUGGUUUAAAAGACGGCUUCGGCUGUCACUUUAGGAUGGACCCGCGGCGUAUUAGCUUGUUGGUAAGGUAACGGCCUACCAAGGCGAUGAUACGUAGCCGACCUGAGAGGGUAAUCGGCCACAUUGGGACUGAGACACGGCCCAAACUCCUACGGGAGGCAGCAGUAGGGAAUCUUCCACAAUGGACGAAAGUCUGAUGGAGCAACGCCGCGUGAGUGAUGAAGGGUUUCGGCUCGUAAAACUCUGUUGUUGGAGAAGAACAGGUGUCAGAGUAACUGUUGACAUCUUGACGGUAUCCAACCAGAAAGCCACGGCUAACUACGUGCCAGCAGCCGCGGUAAUACGUAGGUGGCAAGCGUUGUCCGGAUUUAUUGGGCGUAAAGCGAGCGCAGGCGGUUUUUUAGGUCUGAUGUGAAAGCCUUCGGCUUAACCGGAGAAGUGCAUCGGAAACCGGGAGACUUGAGUGCAGAAGAGGACAGUGGAACUCCAUGUGUAGCGGUGAAAUGCGUAGAUAUAUGGAAGAACACCAGUGGCGAAGGCGGCUGUCUGGUCUGUAACUGACGCUGAGGCUCGAAAGCAUGGGUAGCGAACAGGAUUAGAUACCCUGGUAGUCCAUGCCGUAAACGAUGAGUGCUAAGUGUUGGAGGGUUUCCGCCCUUCAGUGCUGCAGCUAACGCAUUAAGCACUCCGCCUGGGGAGUACGACCGCAAGGU
This 879-nucleotide ribosomal RNA is filed under the name uncultured bacterium. RNAcentral's name for it is "bacterial SSU rRNA". It matches the Rfam family "Bacterial small subunit ribosomal RNA", at positions 59 to 894 of the family's 1533-position model. The record is from RNAcentral.